Molecule: ribosomal RNA, 828 nt
Filed under: uncultured bacterium
Lineage: Bacteria
Description: bacterial SSU rRNA
Rfam family: Bacterial small subunit ribosomal RNA
Source: RNAcentral
AGAGUUUGAUCCUGGCUCAGAUUGAACGCUGGCGGCACGCUUAACACAUGCAAGUCGAGCGAUUUUAUGCUUUCGGGCAUGAGAUAGCGGCGGACGGGUGAGUAAUGCGUAGGGAUCUGCCCUGAAGUGGGGGACAACCUUGGGAAACUAGGGCUAAUACCGCAUAAUAUUCUGAGGAAGAAAGUUGCGUUACUCUUUUUGUGCAUUUGGAUGAGUAGUGUAUAAAGAGAGUAACGUGACGCUUUAGGAUGAACCUACGUCCGAUUAGCUAGUUGGUAGGGUAAAGGCCUACCAAGGCGACGAUCGGUAGCUGGUCUGAGAGGACGGACAGCCACACUGGGACUGAGACACGGCCCAGACUCCUACGGGAGGCAGCAGUGGGGAAUAUUGGACAAUGGGGGCAACCCUGAUCCAGCGAUGCCGCGUGUGUGAAGAAGGCCUGAGGGUUGUAAAGCACUUUUGUUAGGGAAGAUUGUUGUUGUGGUGAAUAGCCAUGAUGAUUGACGGUACCUGACGAAUAAGCACCGGCUAACUCUGUGCCAGCAGCCGCGGUAAUACAGAGGGUGCAAGCGUUAAUCGGAAUUACUGGGCGUAAAGGGCGCGUAGGUUGAUGUGUAAGUCAUAUGUGAAAGGCCUGGGCUUAACCUAGGAAUUGCAUAUGAUACUGUACGUCUAGAGUAAAGUAGAGGGUGGCGGAAUUUCCGGUGUAGCGGUGAAAUGCGUAGAUAUCGGAAGGAACACCAGUGGCGAAGGCGGCCACCUGGGCUUUAACUGACACUGAGGCGCGAAAGCGUGGGGAGCAAACAGGAUUAGAUACCCUAGUAGUCC